RNAcentral lists this ribosomal RNA (253 nucleotides) under uncultured bacterium. RNAcentral describes it as "partial 16S ribosomal RNA". It matches the Rfam family "Bacterial small subunit ribosomal RNA", at positions 524 to 776 of the family's 1533-position model. The record is from RNAcentral.
UACGAAGGGGGCUAGCGUUGUUCGGAAUCACUGGGCGUAAAGGGCGCGUAAGCGGCCAUAUAAGUCGGGGGUGAAAGCCUGUGGCUCAACCACAGAAUUGCCUUCGAUACUGUAUGGCUCGAGACCGGAAGAGGUAAGUGGAACUGCGAGUGUAGAGGUGAAAUUCGUAGAUAUUCGCAAGAACACCAGUGGCGAAGGCGGCUCACUGGCCCAUUACUGACGUUGAGGCACGAAAGCGUGGGGAGCAAACAGG